Cyprinus carpio carpio is the source of this 974-nucleotide long non-coding RNA. Lineage: Eukaryota; Metazoa; Chordata; Actinopteri; Cypriniformes; Cyprinidae. The record is from Ensembl.
GAAAUUUCUCAGUGUACCUACAGCUGCAGAGACAUUUGAUGCUGCUACAUCUGGAAUUAUUCAUAGUACUCCUGGGCCAUCUACUGAUCCUAAGGUGAAACUUCAGUCUUCACUCCAACCGAGGAUUGCAUACUGGAUUGCACUACUUGCACUGACUGUGUCAUAUGAUGAGGUGAUUGAUGAUUUUGCAGCCAAGAAGUCUCGCAAAGGCCCCACAACCCUUCAAGCCGGCACUGGUCAUGAUGGUCAGACAGCAGGUGGAUUAUGAUGAUCGGAUGUUACCUGGAGCUGGCAGAAACUGGACAUAUCAAAGAAGCUAACACUGAAGAGACAUCUGAUGCUGCCGAGUCCAAAAUGGUGCAAAAAUGGAGAUGUAUGAAAAAUGGUGUAUGUUUGGUUCCACCUGAUAAAAGCACAUAAUAGCCAGAUUCGGAGGUUACCUGGACCUGGCGGAAACUGGACAUAUCAAAGGAGCUAACACUGAAAAGGUAUCUGAUGCUACCGAGUCCAAAAUGGUGCAAAAAUGGAUGUAUAAAAUGUAAUGUAUAAAAAUGGUGUAUGUUUGGUUCCACCUGAUAAAAGCACAUAAUAACCAGAUUUGGAGGGUAAUUGGUUCUCAUGGUGACGUAAGCAAUUUUCAACAUUUACAGGUAUUAGUCUGUGAUUUUAUUGCCAUCUGAAUCCAGAACGUUAAUGUUUUUCACCCACCAUCCCAAUAAAAAUCCCCGGCCGAACUACCAAGGUCAUGUGUUAAUUUAAUUGCUGUCCAUCUCAUAGAAUAAAUCGUUUACUUUUCAUGCUGAAAAAAAGAAUACUGAAAUGCUAGAAGGUAUUUACAAGAAUAAUAUUUCAUAGCUUACAAUUUUAAAAUAUGCCUACAAUUACAAACAUAAAAAUGCAAACCAAGCAGCUUUGUUUGCCUUGUGUAAAUAAGAGGUUGCAUUUACUUAUUAAUGCUAUAAUCUCCACAUUUU